RNAcentral lists this non-coding RNA (420 nucleotides) under Lysinibacillus odysseyi 34hs-1 = NBRC 100172. RNAcentral's name for it is "Bacterial small subunit ribosomal RNA". It matches the Rfam family "Bacterial small subunit ribosomal RNA", at positions 1 to 405 of the family's 1533-position model. Lineage: Bacteria; Bacillati; Bacillota; Bacilli; Caryophanales; Bacillaceae. The record is from Rfam by way of RNAcentral.
UUUAUGGAGAGUUUGAUCCUGGCUCAGGACGAACGCUGGCGGCGUGCCUAAUACAUGCAAGUCGAGCGGACGUUUUGUUGGUGCUUGCACCGACUUAACGUUAGCGGCGGACGGGUGAGUAACACGUGGGCAACCUGCCCUGUAGUCUGGGAUAACUCCGGGAAACCGGGGCUAAUACCGGAUGAUACUUUUUGAUUCAUGUCAGAAAGUUGAAAGAUGGUUUACGCUAUCGCUACAGGAUGGGCCCGCGGCGCAUUAGCUAGUUGGUGAGGUAACGGCUCACCAAGGCAACGAUGCGUAGCCGACCUGAGAGGGUGAUCGGCCACACUGGGACUGAGACACGGCCCAGACUCCUACGGGAGGCAGCAGGAGGGAAUCUUCCACAAUGGACGAAAGUCUGAUGGAGCAACGCCGCGUGAG